Molecule: ribosomal RNA, 476 nt
Filed under: uncultured bacterium
Lineage: Bacteria
Description: partial 16S ribosomal RNA
Rfam family: Bacterial small subunit ribosomal RNA
Source: RNAcentral
GAUGAACGCUGGCGGCGUGCUUAACACAUGCAAGUCGAACGGGAAACCUUUUAUUGAAGCUUCGGCAGAUUUAGCUGGUUUCUAGUGGCGGACGGGUGAGUAACGCGUGGGUAACCUGCCCUAUACAGGGGGAUAACAACCAGAAAUGGUUGCUAAUACCGCAUAAGCGCACAGGGCCGCAUGGUCCGGUGUGAAAAACUCCGGUGGUAUAGGAUGGACCCGCGUUGGAUUAGCCAGUUGGCAGGGUAACGGCCUACCAAAGCGACGAUCCAUAGCCGGCCUGAGAAGGUGAACGGCCACAUUGGGACUGAGACACGGCCCAGACUCCUACGGGAGGCAGCAGUGGGGAAUAUUGCACAAUGGGGGAAACCCUGAUGCAGCGACGCCGCGUGAAGGAAGAAGUAUCUCGGUAUGUAAACUUCUAUCAGCAGGGAAGAUAGUGACGGUACCUGACUAAGAAGCCCCGGCGAACUACG